This 326-nucleotide ribosomal RNA is filed under the name uncultured bacterium. Its description in RNAcentral is "bacterial SSU rRNA". It matches the Rfam family "Bacterial small subunit ribosomal RNA", at positions 28 to 334 of the family's 1533-position model. The record is from RNAcentral.
GAUGAACGCUGGCGGCGUGCUUAACACAUGCAAGUCGAACGGAGAGCCAUUGAAAGAGGAUUCGUCCAAUUGAUAUGGUUUCUUAGUGGCGGACGGGUGAGUAACGCGUGAGUAACCUGCCUUGGAGUGGGGAAUAACACAGAGAAAUUUGUGCUAAUACCGCAUAAGCCCACAGGUCGGCAUCGACCAGAGGGAAAAGGAGCAAUCCGCUUUGAGAUGGCCUCGCGUCCGAUUAGCUAGUUGGUGAGGUAACGGCCCACCAAGGCGACGAUCGGUAGCCGGACUGAGAGGUUGAACGGCCACAUUGGGACUGAGACACGGCCCAG